AACGAACGCUGGCGGCAUGCCUAACACAUGCAAGUCGAACGAGACCUUCGGGUCUAGUGGCGCACGGGUGCGUAACGCGUGGGAACCUGCCUUUAGGUUCGGAAUAACUCAGAGAAAUUUGAGCUAAUACCGGAUAAUGUCUUCGGACCAAAGAUUUAUCGCCUUUAGAUGGGCCCGCGUAAGAUUAGCUAGUUGGUGGGUAAAGGCCUACCAAGGCGACGAUCUUUAGCUGGUCUGAGAGGAUGAUCAGCCACACUGGGACUGAGACACGGCCCAGACUCCUACGGGAGGCAGCAGUGGGGAAUAUUGGACAAUGGGCGAAAGCCUGAUCCAGCAAUGCCGCGUGAGUGAUGAAGGCCUUAGGGUUGUAAAGCUCUUUUACCCGGGAUGAUAAUGACAGUACCGGGAGAAUAAGCCCCGGCUAACUCCGUGCCAGCAGCCGCGGU
RNAcentral lists this ribosomal RNA (446 nucleotides) under uncultured bacterium. RNAcentral's name for it is "bacterial SSU rRNA". It matches the Rfam family "Bacterial small subunit ribosomal RNA", at positions 29 to 521 of the family's 1533-position model. The record is from RNAcentral.